UACGAAGGGUGCUAGCGUUGUUCGGAAUUACUGGGCGUAAAGCGCACGUAGGCGGUCAUUUAAGUCAGGGGUGAAAUCCCAGAGCUCAACUCUGGAACUGCCUUUGAUACUGGGUGUCUUGAGUAUGGAAGAGGUGAGUGGAAUUCCGAGUGUAGAGGUGAAAUUCGUAGAUAUUCGGAAGAACACCAGUGGCGAAGGCGACUUACUGGACACAUAUUGACGCUGAGGUGCGAAAGCGUGGGGAGCAAACAGG
Molecule: ribosomal RNA, 253 nt
Filed under: uncultured bacterium
Lineage: Bacteria
Description: partial 16S ribosomal RNA
Rfam family: Bacterial small subunit ribosomal RNA
Source: RNAcentral